Molecule: ribosomal RNA, 253 nt
Filed under: uncultured bacterium
Lineage: Bacteria
Description: partial 16S ribosomal RNA
Rfam family: Bacterial small subunit ribosomal RNA
Source: RNAcentral
UACGUAGGGCGCAAGCGUUGUCCGGAAUUAUUGGGCGUAAAGAGCUCGUAGGCGGCUUGUCACGUCGGGUGUGAAAGCCCGGGGCUUAACCCCGGGUCUGCAUUCGAUACGGGCUAGCUAGAGUGUGGUAGGGGAGAUCGGAAUUCCCGGUGUAGCGGUGAAAUGCGCAGAUAUCAGGAGGAACACCGGUGGCGAAGGCGGAUCUCUGGGCCAUUACUGACGCUGAGGAGCGAAAGCGUGGGGAGCGAACAGG